This 125-nucleotide ribosomal RNA is filed under the name Orbilia sp. RNAcentral's name for it is "partial small subunit ribosomal RNA". It matches the Rfam family "Eukaryotic small subunit ribosomal RNA", at positions 1657 to 1779 of the family's 1831-position model. Lineage: Eukaryota; Fungi; Ascomycota; Orbiliomycetes; Orbiliales; Orbiliaceae. The record is from RNAcentral.
CCUUUGUACACACCGCCCGUCGCUACUACCGAUUGAAUGGCUCAGUGAGGCCUUCGGACUGGCUCAGGAAGAUGGGCAACUAUCAUCCAGAGCCGGAAAGUUGGUCAAACUUGGUCAUUUAGAGG